Molecule: ribosomal RNA, 1514 nt
Filed under: Clostridium botulinum
Lineage: Bacteria; Bacillati; Bacillota; Clostridia; Eubacteriales; Clostridiaceae
Description: partial 23S ribosomal RNA
Rfam family: Bacterial large subunit ribosomal RNA
Source: RNAcentral
GCUAUGUAGCAAGGUUAAGUACUUAAGGUAUGGAGCCGAAGGGAAACCGAGUCUGAAAAGGGCGAAAAGUUGCAUGGUGUAGACCCGAAACCGGGUGACCUAUCCAUGGCCAGGUUGAAGCGAGAGUAAAAUCUCGUGGAGGACCGAACCACGUUGGUGUUGAAAAACCAUGGGAUGAGCUGUGGAUAGCGGAGAAAUUCCAAUCGAACUCGGAGAUAGCUGGUUCUCCUCGAAAUAGCUUUAGGGCUAGCGUCGUGUAAUUGAGUAAUGGAGGUAGAGCACUGAAUGGGCUAGGGGCUAUAGUAGUUACCGAACCCUAUCAAACUCCGAAUGCCAUAUACUUGUAUCACGGCAGUCAGACUGCGAAUGAUAAGAUCCGUAGUCAAAAGGGAAACAGCCCAGACCAUCAGCUAAGGUCCCAAAGUGUAAGUUAAGUGGAAAAGGAUGUGGGAUUUCUAAGACAACUAGGAUGUUGGCUUAGAAGCAGCCACUCAUUUAAAGAGUGCGUAAUAGCUCACUAGUCAAGAGAUCCUGCGCCGAAGAUGUCCGGGGCUCAAACUUACCACCGAAGCUAUGGGUGUACACUAUGUGUACGCGGUAGAGGAGCUUUCUGUAUGGGUUGAAGUCGUACCGUAAGGAGCGGUGGACUGUACAGAAGUGAGAAUGCUGGCAUAAGUAGCGAGAAAUAAGUGAGAAUCUUAUUGGCCGAAAACCUAAGGUUUCCUGGGGAAGGUUCGUCCGCCCAGGGUUAGUCGGGACCUAAGCCGAGGCCGAAAGGCGUAGGUGAUGGACAAUCGGUUGAUAUUCCGAUACCGCCUAUUUACGUUUGAGAGAUGGGGUGACGCAGUAGGAUAAGAUGUGCGCACUAUUGGAUGUGCGUCUAAGCAUUUAGGCAUGCUUGAUAGGUAAAUCCGUCGAGCUAAGCUGAGGUGUAAUGGGGAGCCAUUUAUGGCGAAGUAUCUGAUUCCACACUGCCAAGAAAAGCCUCUAUCGAGUGAAUAGGUGCCCGUACCGCAAACCGACACAGGUAGGUGAGGAGAGAAUCCUAAGGCCAUCGGAAGAAUUGCUGUUAAGGAACUCGGCAAAUUGACCCCGUAACUUCGGGAGAAGGGGUGCCUACGAAAGUAGGCCGCAGAGAAUAGGCCCAAGCAACUGUUUAGCAAAAACACAGGUCUCUGCUAAAGCGAAAGCUGAUGUAUAGGGGCUGACGCCUGCCCGGUGCUGGAAGGUUAAGGGGAACACUUAGCGUAAGCGAAGGUGUGAACUUAAGCCCCAGUAAACGGCGGCCGUAACUAUAACGGUCCUAAGGUAGCGAAAUUCCUUGUCGGGUAAGUUCCGACCCGCACGAAUGGCGUAAUGAUUUGGGCACUGUCUCAACAGCAAAUCCGGCGAAAUUGUAGUGCAAGUGAAGAUGCUUGCUACCCGCGAUUGGACGGAAAGACCCCGUAGAGCUUUACUGUAGCUUAGCAUUGAAUCUCGGUAUUGUCUGUACAGGAUAGGUGGGAGACUUGGAA